RNAcentral lists this ribosomal RNA (656 nucleotides) under uncultured bacterium. Its description in RNAcentral is "bacterial SSU rRNA". It matches the Rfam family "Bacterial small subunit ribosomal RNA", at positions 8 to 653 of the family's 1533-position model. The record is from RNAcentral.
AGAGUUUGAUCAUGGCUCAGAUUGAACGCUGGCGGCAGGCCUAACACAUGCAAGUCGAGCGGUAACAGAAAGUAGCUUGCUACUUUGCUGACGAGCGGCGGACGGGUGAGUAAUGCCUGGGAAUAUGCCUUGAUGUGGGGGAUAACCAUUGGAAACGAUGGCUAAUACCGCAUAAUCUCUUCGGAGCAAAGAGGGGGACCUUCGGGCCUCUCGCGUCAAGAUUAGCCCAGGUGGGAUUAGCUAGUAGGUGAGGUAAUGGCUCACCUAGGCGACGAUCUCUAGCUGGUCUGAGAGGAUGAUCAGCCACACUGGAACUGAGACACGGUCCAGACUCCUACGGGAGGCAGCAGUGGGGAAUAUUGCACAAUGGGCGCAAGCCUGAUGCAGCCAUGCCGCGUGUGUGAAGAAGGCCUUCGGGUUGUAAAGCACUUUCAGUCGUGAGGAAGGCAGUUGCGUUAAUAGCGUAAUUGUUUGACGUUAGCGACAGAAGAAGCACCGGCUAACUCCGUGCCAGCAGCCGCGGUAAUACGGAGGGUGCGAGCGUUAAUCGGAAUUACUGGGCGUAAAGCGCAUGCAGGUGGUUAGUUAAGUCAGAUGUGAAAGCCCGGGGCUCAACCUCGGAAUUGCAUUUGAAACUGGCUAGCUAGAGUACUGUA